AGGGUUUGAUCAUGGCUCAGAAUGAACGCUGGCGGCACGCUUAACACAUGCAAGUCGAACGAGAUCUUCGGAUCUAGUGGCAGACGGGUGAGUAACGCGUGGGAACCUGCCCAGUAGUAGAGAAUAACUUGGGGAAACUUAAGCUAAUACUUUAUACGUCCUUCGGGAGAAAGCUUUAUGCGCUAUUGGAUGGGCCCGCGUUAGAUUAGUUUGUUGGUGAGGUAACUGCUCACCAAGGCGACGAUCUAUAGCUGGUCUGAGAGGAUGAUCAGCCACACUGGGACUGAGACACGGCCCAGACUCCUACGGGAGGCAGCAGUGGGGAAUUUUCCGCAAUGGGCGAAAGCCUGACGGAGCAACGCCGCGUGAGGGACGAAGGCCUCUGGGCUGUAAACCUCUUUUCUCAAGGAAGAAGAUAUGACGGUACUUGAGGAAUAAGCCACGGCUAAUUCCGUGCCAGCAGCCGCGGUAAUACGGGAGUGGCAAGCGUUAUCCGGAAUUAUUGGGCGUAAAGCGUCCGCAGGCGGCUUUUCAAGUCUGCUGUUAAAGCGUGGAGCUUAACUCCAUCAUGGCAGUGGAAACUGAAAGGCUUGAGUAUGGUAGGGGCAGAGGGAAUUCCCGGUGUAGCGGUGAAAUGCGUAGAUAUCGGGAAGAACACCAGUGGCGAAGGCGCUCUGCUGGGCCAUUACUGACGCUCAUGGACGAAAGCCAGGGGAGCGAAAGGGAUUAGAUACCCCUGUAGUCCUGGCCGUAAACGAUGAACACUAGGUGUCGGGGGAAUCGACCCCUUCGGUGUCGUAGCUAACGCGUUAAGUGUUCCGCCUGGGGAGUACGCACGCAAGUGUGAAACUCAAAGGAAUUGACGGGGGCCCGCACAAGCGGUGGAGUAUGUGGUUUAAUUCGAUGCAACGCGAAGAACCUUACCAGGGUUUGACAUCCUGCGAACCUCUUAGAAAUUUGAGGGUGCCUUCGGGAAUGCAGUGACAGGUGGUGCAUGGCUGUCGUCAGCUCGUGUCGUGAGAUGUUGGGUUAAGUCCCGCAACGAGCGCAACCCACGUUUUUAGUUGCCAGCAUUUAGUUGGGCACUCUAGAAAGACCGCCGGUGAUAAACCGGAGG
This 1117-nucleotide ribosomal RNA is filed under the name uncultured bacterium. RNAcentral's name for it is "bacterial SSU rRNA". It matches the Rfam family "Bacterial small subunit ribosomal RNA", at positions 8 to 1169 of the family's 1533-position model. The record is from RNAcentral.